RNAcentral lists this long non-coding RNA (362 nucleotides) under Cricetulus griseus (Chinese hamster). Its description in RNAcentral is "lncRNA (ENSCGRG00015038725.1)". The record is from RNAcentral. Lineage: Eukaryota; Metazoa; Chordata; Mammalia; Rodentia; Cricetidae.
CACCACUGCCGCCUCUGCCACUGCUACCAUCCUUCAAAGCCAUCAGAAUCCAGCCUCUUGAAACACCUAGACAAUAGGAAUUGUGAGAUAUGAGGCUUCAGUGGAUGUGUGACAGUAGAAGCGUUUGAGUCAGUGAGGACUGAAGAGGACAACAGCUGGCUGUGGGGACAGGUGUGCAAGUGACACCACAGGUCUUGCCUUCUGAGACUUUUGAGUGACUGCGGCAGCCAGCGAACCCUGGAGUUCCCGAGGCAGCAUUUGCAAAAGUUAACUCUUGGCGCCCAGACAGGCACACACGUGUGGACUCUUGCCACUGAUGACCCAGGCGGGAUUCAGCUGUUUUUAUGAAAAUCAUCUUCAAC